This 435-nucleotide long non-coding RNA is filed under the name Rosa chinensis. RNAcentral's name for it is "sRNA RchiOBHm_Chr2g0135291". Lineage: Eukaryota; Viridiplantae; Streptophyta; Magnoliopsida; Rosales; Rosaceae. The record is from RNAcentral.
CUACUCACAACCCAUCCACAAAUCAACAAUAAUAUUCAUCAAUUAAAGAGGUAAAGGUGAAGAGGAGUGGAAAGUAACAAGAUCAAGUCACAAAUUGCUAUGGAGCAAUUAUGACAAGCUUUGAUUUAUGGCUUUCCACUAUACCCAAUCUCAAGUCUUGAUGUAGAUAAGAUCCCUUGAAGCUCCUUGAAAUAUUGAUGAGGAUUUGAUGGAAUUUUGGAGGAAAAUGGAUCUUGGUGAGGUGGAGUGGAUCUUGGUGAGGAGAAGAAAUGGUGUGGAGGAGUGGUUUUGGGUGUGUUGGAGAAGAAGAGAGAGAGAAGGGUGAUGGUAUAUGAAAAUGGGGAGUGCGGCAGGUCUGGAUUGAGAGGAAUAAAGAAUGAGGCUUGGUGCGGCGCUGUAGGUUGAGAGGAAUAGAGUCGUGAUUAUGAAAUAUAU